GCGGGAGUAGUUCAGCGGUAGAAUGUCUGCUUCCCAAGCAGAAGGUCGCGGGUUCAAGUCCCGUCUCCCGCUCCG
Molecule: transfer RNA, 75 nt
Filed under: Candidatus Amesbacteria bacterium RIFCSPHIGHO2_01_FULL_48_32
Lineage: Bacteria; Candidatus Amesiibacteriota
Also listed under: 1 other name
Description: tRNA-Gly
Rfam family: tRNA
About the family: Transfer RNA (tRNA) molecules are approximately 80 nucleotides in length. Their secondary structure includes four short double-helical elements and three loops (D, anti-codon, and T loops).
Source: RNAcentral